GCUGCCAACCGCAUUCAGGCCACAAUACAUGUUGUAGUGACGACAGCAACGCUCGGAGGUUGCCUUCCUUUCCAGUAGCCCAACGUUUUAUAUCAUAGUUCAGCGUAUCAGCAAGCCUAUGCUUCUCUUCCUGCUCAUUCUGAGACUGAAGAUCACGCUGAGUCUUCUCAGCCAAAGCCUUGGCCAUGCGCUCUUGGGUCUUCAAAUGAUGUUUCAACCUAGCAUUUCUUCUUUCUUCACUUUCAUCCUCAACUUCCUGAAAUGCCUCGGAGGAAGGAGCAGAGUCUCCAAAAAACAUUAAGUCAUCGACAAAGUUUUUCACAGGCGACGCGUUUUUUUUACUCAACGAUGACUUCUUUUCUUCUGGCAUUCCCUUCUUAUGGAAGCCUGCAGACAUAUGUCCCUCAGCUGCAGAUUUUGGCUUUGUCGUAUUGCUUGGUUUGUUGAUUGUCACCCUCACAUUUUUGGACUUCUCUUGUGCUCUGUCCACAGGACUCUUUACAGAGGAGUCCUUUUUAGGAACAUGUGGUCGUUCGGUUGUAUCACUCCUAACCUUAAAAUUGGCAAAAUUUUCAAGCUCGUCAAUUGAAGAUGUCACGGGAUUACUUCCACGAUGCUGUUCCGACGAUUCUGAAAAUGGCCAAGAAGAAGCAUUUGCCUCACUGGUAGAUGAUUCAAAAACCAAAAAUGGAUCAUCUGGUGAAGAGGAGCUUGAUUUAGAAGAAUUUGAUUGCUGAGGACUUCUCGGGUCUGAUUUUUUGCUGUAACUUGGGGAGCUAAAAUCACCAAAUCCAGGAAUCAAAUCAUCACCUUCUGACCUAUUUACAGCAGGAUCUUUCUUCAAACUAUCCGACUUCAAUCCCAAAUUCCCAAAUAUAUCAUCAAUCGAGUCACUCCUCUUUGGUUCCGUACCAAACAAAUCAAAAUCAUCAUUCACAUUCUUACUAGCAUAGUUAUUAUUAUUACCCGAACUCGAACCUCCCAAUACUGAUUCAAUAUCCACAUUAUUCUGCUGCUGCUUUGAAUUUGCAAACACACCUCCAAAAAUAUCAUUAUCAUCGUAGUUCGGCGAAGUCUUAGACCUGAAAAUUCCAUCGAGAUCAUCCGCAAAUGGAUCCCCAGAGCUAUACCCGGUGUUUUGACCCGAAUUAAACCCGAGAUUCGACGGAAAACCAUUGCUGGAAUUGUUUUUCGCCUUCAAAUUAGCCAUGGGCGUUGACUUGCCUCCUUGAACUUUGACGCCAUAUCUCUCAACCAAAACGCCAAAUUCAUCCAUAUUUUUUUCAAAAAAAAAUUACAAUAGCAGAGCAAUUCGAUCUCUGAAUAUCAAUAUCUAAUCAACAAAAAUAAAACGCAAUAUGUGUAUAUUACAAUACAAAAAAAAAAGGAAGGUGCAGAGGAAUGAGC
Molecule: unclassified non-coding RNA, 1407 nt
Filed under: Hevea brasiliensis (rubber tree)
Lineage: Eukaryota; Viridiplantae; Streptophyta; Magnoliopsida; Malpighiales; Euphorbiaceae
Source: RNAcentral